Magallana angulata is the source of this 979-nucleotide long non-coding RNA. RefSeq lists it as uncharacterized. The transcript is spliced from 4 exons. The record is from RefSeq and is a predicted model, not a curated record. Lineage: Eukaryota; Metazoa; Mollusca; Bivalvia; Ostreida; Ostreidae.
AGAGAGAGAGAGAGAAACCAAUCACCUUUGCAUGGAAUUGGCAUUUGCAAUUAAUUAGUCAAAUAAUGAACUGUAUUGUAAUCAAGAAAUAUUUCUGUGCAUAUACUCAGGUAAUUAAUUCUCAUCAGCAGCACAAGUAUGUGUUUGAUCUUUUCCAAAUCGUUGCAGAACUAGUCAUCUUGGCAGCUCAAGGCAGCAGCAGCUGGAGAGGCAGGGUAUACCAAGGACAUGUACUAGUAACCGACUAAUGCCGUUACCUUCACGAUUAGAAAAGAUUGAUGCCUUCGUGAUGAAAUCUGAGGUUGUAAUAAUAUAAUAGAUGCAUGUGCUGUGGAGCUUGUCACCGCCUGAGACACACAUUGUAAUUACAGUACGCUUCCUGUCAGGGCCAGGAUAAUGCCAAUGUAGUCUCUACACAAGCACAUUAGCAACAGUCUGAUCAAGUGCAGUUUCUAAUUCUGGACAAUGUCAACACGAACCAAAAACAGCAGAAAUAUUUUAGAAACAUUCAAUAAUUUGUGAGGAAAGCAACUUGGACCUUGAUUAACCAAGAUGCUGUGACCAUGAGGUUGUCCUUGAUUGCCAAAAUAAACAUUUGAUCAUUGACACAUGAUGAGGUGCUUUGUGUGAUCUUGCUACUGUGUUGGCAUUUUAAUUCAUUCUAAAAAUGUACAUCACAAACUGAUUUCACUGUAUGGGUCAAACCAUAAGUAGGGUUUGCUGCUGGAAAACCAAAGAUCACAUAGAGGACUACAAACAGAAAUAAAUCCAUCAGAUAUGUAUAAUUAAACAGAAAUUAUUAUAGCCAUUAUAGUUAAAAGCAGCUUACAUACAAGCUAACCUAAGAUGAUCGAAAUUUGAAACAGAUCUUAAAAAGUAAAAUUAUGGCAAUGUUAAAAUAUGAGGCUUUAUCUUGGCAAAAAACGUUAUGAUAUCUGUUUUUAUCAUGAUUUAGAUAAUUUUUCUGUCUUGGGGAUGU